GUGAACGCUGGCGGUAGGCCUAACACCUGCAAGUCGAACGGCAGCACCGUAAGAGCUUGCUCUUACGGGUGGCGAGUGGCGGACGGGUGAGGAAUACAUCGGAAUCUACUUUUUCGUGGGGGAUAACGUAGGGAAACUUACGCUAAUACCGCAUACGACCUACGGGUGAAAGCAGGGGAUCUUCGGGCCUUGCGCGAUUGAAUGAGCCGAUGUCGGAUUAGCUAGUUGGCGGGGUAAAGGCCCACCAAGGCGGCGAUCCGUAGCUGGUCUGAGAGGAUGAUCAGCCACACUGGAACUGAGACACGGUCCAGACUCCUACGGGAGGCAGCAGUGGGGAAUAUUGGACAAUGGGCGCAAGCCUGAUCCAGCCAUACCGCGUGGGUGAAGAAGGCCUUCGGGUUGUAAAGCCCUUUUGUUGGGAAAGAAAAGCAGCAGGUUAAUACCCCGCUGUUCUGACGGUACCCAAAGAAUAAGCACCGGCUAACUUCGUG
This 491-nucleotide ribosomal RNA is filed under the name uncultured bacterium. RNAcentral's name for it is "partial 16S ribosomal RNA". It matches the Rfam family "Bacterial small subunit ribosomal RNA", at positions 29 to 507 of the family's 1533-position model. The record is from RNAcentral.